GUCAGCAGCCCUGAAGUUGGACUUUUAUCACUUCUUUCUUUUUAGUUGUUGUUUGCUUUCUUUAUUACAUUUAUCAGGACUUAAGGAUGUUUUAGCUGAGUGGCGAUCAUGGGAGCUGUAACAUUUUCUCUGUGUUGCAGCCGAAGUAGCAAGGCUGUUUGCUCCAUACAACAACAACAACAACAACAACAACAACAACAACAACAACAACAACAAUUUGGCUGACAACAAGGCUGAUAAAGUUCCAAGCAUUCAGCUUAAAGCAGACCUUCUUGCUUCAGGACUUGGAGAACAAAGGUGAUCUUUUCAGGAAAUGACAACGAUCCCAUGGUUGUAACAAACAAACUGAUGGAGGUGUUUCCAAAGCUGCAAGAAGGGGGAGGCUUUGAGUUUCUAAAAAUUGCAGGAUCUACUCGCAGUCGAAAUCUUGGACUUCUUCAAUGUCCCAGCACAGGAUACACCCUUACCUAUCUAAAAGAUCCAUCUCCAACAAUUGGACAGGCUACAAUUGACAUACGCCCACUUCAACAGGACCUACCCAUUGAUUCAGUGUGGAAAUUUACACUGUCACCAUUUGAUACAUAGUUCAAAUAAAUUGCACUGUGGAGUUUUAAUCAAUACUUAACAGAUUUGUUGUUCUUAGGAAAGCUCGGGACAUGCCUCUGGUCCAGAAGGAGGUUCCCUUCUCUGAAAUGAAACUGCACCGAGCUAACUGGGAUGGCUAUGCACUUGUUAAAGAUAUAUAAGAAUUACAUAUUCAUUUUUCAAUAAGAAAUGUCUUUUUAGUUUUUGUGCACACAGAUGAGAGGAAAUGUCUAUAACAUUUUCUGAACUUCAAGGACCCCCAUGCAGGAAACACAUAGAGAAGGAGAGGGAGACCGUGGUGAGGAGAAUGAUAGAGAGCCACCCACUGACAGGGACAGCGUUCCAGUGAGGCCUGAAACAUCUGUAGAGAGUGAAGUAGAACCAGUAGUGAUUGAAAACUGGAAGAUUAUUAAAGAACCAACUCUGGCUGCCCAAGUUUUCAAAGAUAAUCUACUAAGUGAACAUGCAACCGGGAAGCCUCUUAAACUGAAAAUGGAUGUA
Molecule: non-coding RNA, 1086 nt
Organism: Labrus bergylta (ballan wrasse)
Lineage: Eukaryota; Metazoa; Chordata; Actinopteri; Labriformes; Labridae
Source: RefSeq, a predicted model, not a curated record